UGUGGGAGCGGGCUUGCUCGCGAACGCGGUGUGUCAGUCUCCUGGUGCAUGACUGAUCCACCGCGUUCGCGAGCAAGCCCGCUCCCACA
This 89-nucleotide unclassified non-coding RNA is filed under the name Pseudomonas fluorescens. The record is from RNAcentral. Lineage: Bacteria; Pseudomonadati; Pseudomonadota; Gammaproteobacteria; Pseudomonadales; Pseudomonadaceae.